UAUUAAAAAUUCCAUUCAUUUGUACUAUAAAAAACUAGCGUAAUUGACAGAAUAACCAAAAAGUGUCACGUGACAUACCAUGUAUACCUCAUGCUAAUAUAAAGAGACUAAUUUUUAAUAUCAGAAAUGGAUGAAAUUUUUAACA
Gossypium raimondii (Peruvian cotton) is the source of this 145-nucleotide non-coding RNA. The record is from Rfam. Lineage: Eukaryota; Viridiplantae; Streptophyta; Magnoliopsida; Malvales; Malvaceae.